This 425-nucleotide ribosomal RNA is filed under the name uncultured bacterium. RNAcentral's name for it is "partial 16S ribosomal RNA". It matches the Rfam family "Bacterial small subunit ribosomal RNA", at positions 354 to 796 of the family's 1533-position model. The record is from RNAcentral.
GUGGGGAAUCUUAGACAAUGGGGGCAACCCUGAUCUAGCCAUGCCGCGUGAGUGAUGAAGGCCUUAGGGUUGUAAAGCUCUUUCAGUGGGGAAGAUAAUGACGGUACCCACAGAAGAAGCCCCGGCUAACUCCGUGCCAGCAGCCGCGGUAAUACGGAGGGGGCUAGCGUUGUUCGGAAUUACUGGGCGUAAAGCGCACGUAGGCGGAUCGGAAAGUUGGGGGUGAAAUCCCAGGGCUCAACCCUGGAACUGCCUUCAAAACUAUCGGUCUGGAGUCCGAGAGAGGUGAGUGGAAUUCCGAGUGUAGAGGUGAAAUUCGUAGAUAUUCGGAGGAACACCAGUGGCGAAGGCGGCUCACUGGCUCGGUACUGACGCUGAGGUGCGAAAGCGUGGGGAGCAAACAGGAUUAGAAACCCGGGUAGUCC